UUGGUACAAUUAUACCGAAAC
This 21-nucleotide non-coding RNA is filed under the name Caenorhabditis elegans. Lineage: Eukaryota; Metazoa; Nematoda; Chromadorea; Rhabditida; Rhabditidae. The record is from RNAcentral.